CAUGGAGAUGCGAAGGGAUUUUUCUUUAUUUUUUUCCUACUCAUCUACAUGACAUUAGUUAUUUUUAUUUAUAAGGUAUUAUAUUUUAUCAUUUGCUGCAUCAUAUUUUUAUGAUUAUGAUAAACUCCAAAGAUUAGGAUAAUAAUUUUAGGGCCAUGAUGAGAUCAUGCUAGUGAGACUAAAAAUCUUGAUAGCUCCAAUCUAAAAUAUUUCC
This 214-nucleotide long non-coding RNA is filed under the name Elaeis guineensis (African oil palm). RNAcentral describes it as "long non-coding RNA (EGUI_LNC014239)". The record is from RNAcentral. Lineage: Eukaryota; Viridiplantae; Streptophyta; Magnoliopsida; Arecales; Arecaceae.